This 214-nucleotide long non-coding RNA is filed under the name Eucalyptus grandis. RNAcentral's name for it is "long non-coding RNA (EGRA_LNC005906)". Lineage: Eukaryota; Viridiplantae; Streptophyta; Magnoliopsida; Myrtales; Myrtaceae. The record is from RNAcentral.
UUUUAUUGUGUCGGUUGUCAGCUUGUCAGGCUCUUCGUUUAUUGUGUCGCUUGUCGGCUUGUGCGGCUCUCGCUCGCUCCCCGUUGAAGAAGACCCCCUCCUGUUUGGCUACAGUAAGUAGAAAAAAGAAAACCUUUGCUCUUUUUAUUGUAUAAAGACCUUUUGGCCCUGUUAAAUAAACAGAUAUAAUAAAAGAAAGCGUACCCCUUAUUUU